This 67-nucleotide transfer RNA is filed under the name Gambelia wislizenii (Longnose leopard lizard). RNAcentral describes it as "tRNA-Ser". The record is from RNAcentral. Lineage: Eukaryota; Metazoa; Chordata; Lepidosauria; Squamata; Crotaphytidae.
GAGGGGAGUUAAGAACACCAAGAACUGCUAAUUCUUCACACUAGCGUUAAAAUCGUUAGGCCCCUUA